RNAcentral lists this ribosomal RNA (750 nucleotides) under Rhodococcus sp. JDM-3-11. RNAcentral describes it as "bacterial SSU rRNA". It matches the Rfam family "Bacterial small subunit ribosomal RNA", at positions 46 to 809 of the family's 1533-position model. Lineage: Bacteria; Bacillati; Actinomycetota; Actinomycetes; Mycobacteriales; Nocardiaceae. The record is from RNAcentral.
GCUUAACACAUGCAAGUCGAACGAUGAAGCCCAGCUUGCUGGGUGGAUUAGUGGCGAACGGGUGAGUAACACGUGGGUGAUCUGCCCUGCACUUCGGGAUAAGCCUGGGAAACUGGGUCUAAUACCGGAUAGGACCUCGGGAUGCAUGUUCCGGGGUGGAAAGGUUUUCCGGUGCAGGAUGGGCCCGCGGCCUAUCAGCUUGUUGGUGGGGUAACGGCCCACCAAGGCGACGACGGGUAGCCGGCCUGAGAGGGCGACCGGCCACACUGGGACUGAGACACGGCCCAGACUCCUACGGGAGGCAGCAGUGGGGAAUAUUGCACAAUGGGCGCAAGCCUGAUGCAGCGACGCCGCGUGAGGGAUGACGGCCUUCGGGUUGUAAACCUCUUUCAGUACCGACGAAGCGCAAGUGACGGUAGGUACAGAAGAAGCACCGGCCAACUACGUGCCAGCAGCCGCGGUAAUACGUAGGGUGCGAGCGUUGUCCGGAAUUACUGGGCGUAAAGAGCUCGUAGGCGGUUUGUCGCGUCGUCUGUGAAAACCCGCAGCUCAACUGCGGGCUUGCAGGCGAUACGGGCAGACUUGAGUACUGCAGGGGAGACUGGAAUUCCUGGUGUAGCGGUGAAAUGCGCAGAUAUCAGGAGGAACACCGGUGGCGAAGGCGGGUCUCUGGGCAGUAACUGACGCUGAGGAGCGAAAGCGUGGGUAGCGAACAGGAUUAGAUACCCUGGUAGUCCACGCCGUAAACGG